GAUGAACGCUGGCGGCGUGCUUAACACAUGCAAGUCGAACGGAAAGGCUCCUGCUUGCAGGGGUACUCGAGUGGCGAACGGGUGAGUAACACGUGGGUGAUCUGCCCUGCACUUCGGGAUAAGCCUGGGCAACUGGGUCUAAUACCGGAUAGGACGAUGGUUUGGAUGCCAUUGUGGAAAGUUUUUUCGGUGUGGGCUGAGCUCGCGGCCUAUCAGCUUGUUGGUGGGGUAAUGGCAUACCAAGGCGUCGACGGGUAGCCGGCCUGAGAGGGUGUACGGCCACAUUGGGACUGAGAUACGGCCCAGACUCCUACGGGAGGCAGCAGUGGGGAAUAUUGCACAAUGGGCGCAAGCCUGAUGCAGCGACGCCGCGUGGGGGAUGACGGCCUUCGGGUUGUAAACUCCUUUCGCUAGGGACGAAGCGCAAGUGACGGUACCUGGAGAAGAAGCACCGGCUAACUACGUG
This 466-nucleotide ribosomal RNA is filed under the name uncultured bacterium. RNAcentral's name for it is "partial 16S ribosomal RNA". It matches the Rfam family "Bacterial small subunit ribosomal RNA", at positions 28 to 507 of the family's 1533-position model. The record is from RNAcentral.